CGGGCUGUAGCGUAGUUUGGUUAACGCGCCGGUCUGGGGGACCGGAGAGCGGGAGUUCAAAUCUCCCCAGCCCGA
Molecule: transfer RNA, 75 nt
Filed under: Kribbella capetownensis
Lineage: Bacteria; Bacillati; Actinomycetota; Actinomycetes; Propionibacteriales; Kribbellaceae
Also listed under: 1 other name
Description: Kribbella sp. YM53 tRNA-Pro
Rfam family: tRNA
About the family: Transfer RNA (tRNA) molecules are approximately 80 nucleotides in length. Their secondary structure includes four short double-helical elements and three loops (D, anti-codon, and T loops).
Source: RNAcentral